AGCGGCGCACGGGUGAGUAACACGUGGAUAACCUGCCUCGAAGUGGGGGAUAACACCGGGAAACCGGUGCUAAUACCGCAUAUUCUGACGAGAUCUGCGGAUUUGGUCAGGAAAGGAGCAAUUCGCUACGAGAGGGGUCCGCGGCUGAUUAGCUAGUUGGUGAGGUAAUGGCUCACCAAGGCAACGAUCAGUAGCCGGUCUGAGAGGACGGUCGGCCACACUGGAACUGAGACACGGUCCAGACUCCUACGGGAGGCAGCAGUGGGGAAUUUUUGGCAAUGGGCGAAAGCCUGACCAAGCAACGCCGCGUGGAUGAUGAAGUAUUUCGGUACGUAAAAUCCUUUCGACGGGGACGAAGCCGCAAGGUUGACGGUACCCGUAGAAGAAGCCCCGGCUAACUCCGUGCCAGCAGCCGCGGUAAUACGGGGGGGGCAAGCGUUGUUCGGAAUUACUGGGCGUAAAGGGCGCGUAGGCGGCUCGCUAAGUCGGGUGUGAAAACUCUGGGCUCAACCCAGAGCCUGCACUCGAAACUGACGAGCUAGAGUUCUGGAGGGGAAAGCGGAAUUCCUGGUGUAGCGGUGAAAUGCGUAGAUAUCAGGAGGAACACCGGUGGCGAAGGCGGCUUUCUGGACAGAAACUGACGCUGAUGCGCGAAAGCUAGGGGAGCAAACAGGAUUAGAUACCCUGGUAGUCCUAGCCCU
RNAcentral lists this ribosomal RNA (701 nucleotides) under uncultured Acidobacteriota bacterium. RNAcentral describes it as "bacterial SSU rRNA". It matches the Rfam family "Bacterial small subunit ribosomal RNA", at positions 94 to 803 of the family's 1533-position model. Lineage: Bacteria; Pseudomonadati; Acidobacteriota. The record is from RNAcentral.